UCGUUUUGUUUUUUUUUUCGUUUUUUUUUUAUUUAUUUUUUCAGGAAAAAUGAAAGGUAAAUUUUGGGGUAUUAUAAUAUCCCUAGUAGAGUUGACAGUAUCCAGACUGUAUAUCCCCAGCGGAGUCGACAGUGCCAGACUGUAUCUUCCCAGCAACAGCGGAGUAGUCGCAUACCCAACAGACAAGAGGGUGGUGUUCCCAGUGUUCAUCUCAUCCCCAACAGUUUUGUUUUUAACAGAUUUGUUUUAAUCCCCAGCCUG
This 261-nucleotide long non-coding RNA is filed under the name Lathyrus oleraceus (garden pea). RNAcentral describes it as "Pisum sativum (pea) long non-coding RNA (PSAT_LNC039989)". The record is from RNAcentral. Lineage: Eukaryota; Viridiplantae; Streptophyta; Magnoliopsida; Fabales; Fabaceae.